AAAACCCCGCAAGGGGUUAGUAGAGUGGCGAACGGGUGAGUAACACGUGGGUGACCUACCUUCGAAUGUGGGAUAACGUCCCGAAAGGGACGCUAAUACCGCAUAACAUCCUGCUUUUGAACAGGUGGAGAUCAAAGCCGGGGAUCGCAAGACCUGGCGUUUGAAGAGGGGCCCGCGUCUGAUUAGCUAGUUGGUGAGGUAACGGCUCACCAAGGCGACGAUCAGUAUCCGGCCUGAGAGGGCGGACGGACACACUGGGACUGAGACACGGCCCAGACUCCUACGGGAGGCAGCAGUGGGGAAUUGUUCGCAAUGGGCGCAAGCCUGACGACGCAACGCCGCGUGGAGGAUGAAGGUCUUCGGAUUGUAAACUCCUGUUGCUCGGGACGAAAAGCUUCGACCUAACACGUCGAGGUCUGACGGUACCGGGUGAGGAAGCCCCGGCUAACUCUGUGCCAGCAGCCGCGGUAAUACAGAGGGGGCAAGCGUUGUUCGGAAUUACUGGGCGUAAAGGGCGCGUAGGCGGCCUUCUAAGUCGAACGUGAAAUCCCCGGGCUCAACCCGGGAACUGCGUCCGAUACUGGAAGGCUUGAAUCCGGGAGAGGGAUGUGGAAUUCCAGGUGUAGCGGUGAAAUGCGUAGAUAUCUGGAGGAACACCGGUGGCGAAGGCGGCAUCCUGGACCGGCAUUGACGCUGAGGCGCGAAAGCCAGGGGAGCAAACGGGAUUAGAUACCCCGGUAGUCCUGGCCCUAAACGAUGAAUGCUUGGUGUGGCGGGUAUCGAUCCCUGCCGUGCCGAAGCUAACGCA
This 808-nucleotide ribosomal RNA is filed under the name uncultured Acidobacteriota bacterium. RNAcentral describes it as "bacterial SSU rRNA". It matches the Rfam family "Bacterial small subunit ribosomal RNA", at positions 71 to 859 of the family's 1533-position model. The record is from RNAcentral. Lineage: Bacteria; Pseudomonadati; Acidobacteriota.